Molecule: long non-coding RNA, 327 nt
Organism: Sebastes umbrosus (honeycomb rockfish)
Lineage: Eukaryota; Metazoa; Chordata; Actinopteri; Perciformes; Sebastidae
Exons: 2
Source: RefSeq, a predicted model, not a curated record
GCUAGCUGAAGAGCUAACGUUAGCUGUGGAAGACAACGCUUAGAGGACCUCGGGACUGACAACACAGGCGCAAUUCUCCACUAAAGAAAGGCCCUGUUGGUUCAGCUAGCUUCUGAGAGGGACUUUCAACCCGAACACCUGCAGCAUGCAACUAUUCUCAAAGGGUUACAGCUCCAACCACGGACCCCCGUUGUACGCGUCAACCAAUCGCCUAAAGCUCCCAGCGCCACAUCUGCUGCAUCCGUACGACGGCGAGGCAGCGCGCGGUAGGACGCAUCCAAACCGAGGACCUCGCCUGAAUAAUAUUAAUUAAACCUCCCUAACUAA